UGAAAAGUCGACUGCGGAUCUGCAAGGGAUAGGAUGGUAGUGGAUCAGAUGAUUAUAUAAAAGUAUAAUGUGCCCGUGUCACCAACGGAUGAUCGAGAUGGUAUGUCCGGUAUCACUUUAAAUGUUCACAACUCUCAGGAUGGCGUAUUUCUGCCUGCCGCUUAUUUCCUGCUUGACCUUGUGAACUCGUCCGUGUGACCCGGAAAAAUCACUUCCAAUUCUCAUCUUUUAUUUUGAUAUGCCUGGGCUUGUUAUGUAUUACCCAGACAGGAUGUGACAUCACCGGGUCCAAACGUCAGGACGGGCUACCUAGGAUGUCCAGAACCCGUGCUGCUGGAGGAUGCUUCCUCGCAGCGGGGUCCAGUCAAGUGAUGCUCGCUGGAGGAUGUAGGAGUAAAACCAAGCAGGCGAGACAGAGGCACAGGAGACUGAAAAUCUCUAUUUCCUCUUCUUCCUGGUUUGAGUAUGACCCUUCACCUGGCUUGUGACCCUUCAACUGGAUAUCACUCCGAAGAGUUGGCUCUGGGGCAGGCUACUCCUGUUGAACCACAGGCUGUCUCUCCUCCGACAGACUGCGCUGUGAGAGAGCCAAGCCAUUAGACACUCCCAGUGCUGAUAAUGAAGGCACAGAGGUGGUCCAAAGCAGCGUGAUGCGGUGGAGGAGAGAAGAGCAGGAGCGGAGAAGGAAGUGUUAGACCAGCACCCUGUCUACAACAUCACAGCCAGUCAACACUGGGGCUGUGACUACUGGCAUGACUGGGACCAGUGUGGCCCAGACUCCUCUCCUCCAUACCCAGACUGUAGCAGCUGAUCCCCAUCGCCACCAGGGGCACCUGGCUCCCCUCCCUCCUCUGGCUGGAUCAAUGACUAGAGACAUCCCAUCCCAGGGACCAGGGGUCAGCAUCAAAAGCCCCCUGCCCACAUCCUUGCCACCUGGUGCUCUCUUUAGGACGAGGGGGUACACUUCCACCCCUCCACCCUCCUCCUGAACAGACCAGGCUGUUUGGACAUGGAGCCAGAACAGGGCCUUCGUGUGAUCUCCCGCGCCCCUCCCCAGCCGCCCCCCACAGGGAGAGGGCCAGGGGUCAACCCCAUCAGACCACCACACGGCUCACAGAGCCAUUUGAUGAGGGGGAUCUGUUUUAGAUUUCAUAAUGCCCUCUGAAUCAUGAUCCUGAGCCCUACUCAACUUGGUUAAAUAUGUAAUCUGUUUGUCAAAAGCUUCAUGUUGUAAAAACAUUUGUUUUCAGGGAUUUAUGGAUGUGAAGUUGACCUGGUCAAUUAAGGUUUGUAGAUGACUGUUUUCCUGAUUUGAUACAGUACAUACACAACAAUAUACAACAAUACUCACUUGACUUAAUUACUGGUUCAAAUGAACAUAUCAUCAACAUACUGUUAUUUAUGAUACUGUUUAUUAGGUCAUUGAGUAAUUGGGGCAUGUAUGACACCAUAUUGACAGUUAUGAUAAUUAAUCUGACAUGUUUCUGACUAAUCACAACAGGCUUCAAUUUCACUAACUCAUACAUAAUAAUGUAUGAUGUGUCACUACCUCACAGAUUCCUACCAAUGGAAAACUGAACAUGCAGUAUAAAAAAAUCUGCCACUCUUGAAGGACAAUAGAAGUUAAAUAUACGAGAAUAUGUUGUUAAAAAUAAUACCUUUUUGACAUUGAUGCCUUCGAUCCAGUGUUAGACUUCACUGACUGACUUUACUGACUCGUGGAAGUGUUUUACGGUCAUUAAACUUUGAUACAACAUGCCCAAUAUGAAGACUCAGUUCCUCUGUGAUACAGAGUCUGUAUGUUGUUCAGGCUGUCAGUACAUCAUGAAUACAUAUUAAUGAACCCAGAUUUCUAAAUCUGUUUAUUGAGCUUCUUCUUCCAUUUCCUCCCUCCAUUCUUUCCUCCAAUGCCUUAGCAGAUCCCAGUAUGUCCCCUAGUCUUGUGACAAGGGAUGAAAAGGAGAGAAAAAAAGGUCUAAUGAGUUUGGCAAAAGGAGGACGGAGGGGGGAGACAGAUGGCAUGAAGUCUGCGUGGCUCUGGCGUGGCUCGCCUGGUGCUAAAAUCCUCCUCUCUUACAUUCCAACAAAUCCUAGCAGGAGGUUGGGGAGUCUGCCACACCACUCAGUGGAUCCACGGGGUUCUCUCUUGCACCCCUUUCCUCACUCCCCUGCACCCCGUAAGUCCCUGGCCAAGGGUGUCAGCCUCCCCCAUACCAUAUCCCCACAUGUAUACAUAUAUUAACAUGUUUGUACAGUAUAUAUAGUAUGAUGGGCCAUUUUAUUGGCCUGCUAAGAUAAUAAACACAGGAGGGUGUGAGACGGAGACAGGCGCUGAUUGUUAGUAUGGAAUUGGGCGUGUGGGAUCAAAUUGGGAGUGGACCUAUCCCUCCACUCUAGUGUCAAAUCUCAUUGAGUAAACAUAGGACCAAAGCAUGGAGGCAAAGACUGUAAUCCAUUUAUAUGAGAGGAAGAAAACCUAAGUAGCUUUUCAAUUAGUUUCGCCACCCCCAGCUCCUGAUAAGGAGGAAACGCUGGCAAGUUGAGCCUGUCACAGGCCAGACAUGCCCCGCUCAGAUUGCCCCAUAUUCUCCUCAGUCGGUCUGUCGGUGGGGCUUAUGGCCAAAUGUACAGUAAGUGUAACUGCAUGGUAAUCACACACAGACAGUAGGUCCCACCACUGGCCCGCGGUGACCGCAUGACGUCUUCAUGUGUUUCCACUUCUACAUUGUUUUUGGAUUGCAUUUGAAUUUUAGGAAUGUGCAUUGAGGAGCACCAUAUUAAAGGACAUCAGCGAUAUGAUAAGCAUGUUUAUAAUGUAUAUUACGGACUAUCUCUCUCAAUAUUCUCUCUCUCUUUAUUCUCUCUCUCUCUCUUUCGUCUCUCUCUCAUUCUCUCUCUUGCGUUUCUCUGUCUGUCUCUGUGUAUAAUUGACUGUAUAGUGCACGCUAUCAAUCUCUAACACACUUUUCUCUCUCUCUCUGCAUGUAUAUAUUGUGUAUAAUGUACUGUGCAGUGUACACUAUCAAUCUUUAUCUCACUAUCUCUCUCUCUCUCCUCUCUCUUUAUUCUCUCUUUCUCUCUUUCGUCUCUCUGUCUCUCUGUGUAUAAUUGACUGUAUAGUGCACACUAUCAAUCUCUAACACACUUUAUUCUCUCUCUCUGCAUGUAUAUAUUGUGUAUAAUGUACUGUGCAGUGUACACUAUCAAUCUUUAUCUCACUAUCUCUCUCCUCUCUCUCUCUCUCUCUCUCUCUGCACUUUGCCUUCUGCUCAUGCUAUUGAGUGGCUCUUCUGGGAAAGGAGGAUGCUGUGAAGAGGUCACAGGAGGUUUGAGUAUCAAAUUACUGUUAAUGAUAACGAUAAUAAAAAGAGAAAUCUGCUCCAAA
Molecule: long non-coding RNA, 3385 nt
Organism: Oncorhynchus gorbuscha (pink salmon)
Lineage: Eukaryota; Metazoa; Chordata; Actinopteri; Salmoniformes; Salmonidae
Exons: 4
Source: RefSeq, a predicted model, not a curated record